This 73-nucleotide transfer RNA is filed under the name Culex quinquefasciatus (southern house mosquito). It matches the Rfam family "tRNA". From Rfam's summary of the family: Transfer RNA (tRNA) molecules are approximately 80 nucleotides in length. The record is from Rfam by way of RNAcentral. Lineage: Eukaryota; Metazoa; Arthropoda; Insecta; Diptera; Culicidae.
GCGGUCGUGGCUGACUGGUUACGGUGUUUGCUUUGUAAGCGAAUAAUUCUGGGUUCGAUUCCCAUCUACUCCC